This 460-nucleotide ribosomal RNA is filed under the name uncultured bacterium. RNAcentral describes it as "partial 16S ribosomal RNA". It matches the Rfam family "Bacterial small subunit ribosomal RNA", at positions 338 to 795 of the family's 1533-position model. The record is from RNAcentral.
CCUACGGGGGGCAGCAGUGAGGAAUAUUGGUCAAUGGGCUUACGCCUGAACCAGCCAAGUCGCGUGAGGGAAGACUGCCCUAUGGGUUGUAAACCUCUUUUGUCAGGGAGCAACGCCGGCUACGUGUAGCCGGACUGAGAGUACCUGAAGAAAAAGCAUCGGCUAACUCCGUGCCAGCAGCCGCGGUAAUACGGAGGAUGCGAGCGUUAUCCGGAUUUAUUGGGUUUAAAGGGUGCGUAGGCGGAAUGCCAAGUCAGCGGUAAAAUCGCGGGGCUCAACCUCGCUCCGCCGUUGAAACUGGCGUUCUGGAGUGGGCGAGAAAUAUGCGGAAUGCGUGGUGUAGCGGUGAAAUGCUUAGAUAUGACGAAGAACCCCGAUUGCGAAGGCAGCUUGCUGCAGCGGAACUGACGCUGAUGCUCGAAAGCGCGGGUAUCGAACAGGAUUAGAUACCCGAGUAGUC